ACUCCUACGGGAGGCAGCAGUGGGGAAUUUUGCGCAAUGGGGGAAACCCUGACGCAGCAACGCCGCGUGGAGGAUGAAGCCCCUUGGGGUGUAAACUCCUUUCGACCGGGACGAUAA
RNAcentral lists this ribosomal RNA (117 nucleotides) under uncultured bacterium. Its description in RNAcentral is "partial 16S small subunit ribosomal RNA". It matches the Rfam family "Bacterial small subunit ribosomal RNA", at positions 335 to 451 of the family's 1533-position model. The record is from RNAcentral.